GCGUCGUGAAAUGGCCUUGAAACCGCCUCCUAAGCGGUAGGUCCCCGGUUCGAAUCCGGGCUCGCGCACCA
RNAcentral lists this transfer RNA (71 nucleotides) under Halopseudomonas aestusnigri. Its description in RNAcentral is "tRNA-Ser". RNAcentral also lists the same sequence under 2 other names. Lineage: Bacteria; Pseudomonadati; Pseudomonadota; Gammaproteobacteria; Pseudomonadales; Pseudomonadaceae. The record is from RNAcentral.